RNAcentral lists this ribosomal RNA (800 nucleotides) under Piscibacillus sp. JSM 101078. RNAcentral's name for it is "bacterial SSU rRNA". It matches the Rfam family "Bacterial small subunit ribosomal RNA", at positions 39 to 807 of the family's 1533-position model. Lineage: Bacteria; Bacillati; Bacillota; Bacilli; Caryophanales; Bacillaceae. The record is from RNAcentral.
GGGGGGGGUGCUAUACAUGCAGUCGAGCGCGGGAAGCAGACUGAAUCCUUCGGGAGGACGUCUGUGGAACGAGCGGCGGACGGGUGAGUAACACGUGGGCAACCUGCCUGUAAGACUGGGAUAACUCCGGGAAACCGGGGCUAAUACCGGAUAACUCAUCGGAUCGCAUGAUCCGAUGUUGAAAGAUGGCUUCUCGCUAUCACUUACAGAUGGGCCCGCGGCGCAUUAGCUAGUUGGUGAGGUAACGGCUCACCAAGGCCACGAUGCGUAGCCGACCUGAGAGGGUGAUCGGCCACACUGGGACUGAGACACGGCCCAGACUCCUACGGGAGGCAGCAGUAGGGAAUCAUCCGCAAUGGACGAAAGUCUGACGGUGCAACGCCGCGUGAGUGAGGAAGGCCUUCGGGUCGUAAAACUCUGUUGUUAGGGAAGAACAAGUUCCGUUCGAAUAGGGCGGAGCCUUGACGGUACCUAACCAGAAAGCCACGGCUAACUACGUGCCAGCAGCCGCGGUAAUACGUAGGUGGCAAGCGUUGUCCGGAAUUAUUGGGCGUAAAGCGCGCGCAGGCGGUUCCUUAAGUCUGAUGUGAAAGCCCACGGCUCAACCGUGGAGGGUCAUUGGAAACUGGGGAACUUGAAGACAGAAGAGGAGAGCGGAAUUCCACGUGUAGCGGUGAAAUGCGUAGAGAUGUGGAGGAACACCAGUGGCGAAGGCGGCUCUCUGGUCUGUGCUUGACGCUGAGGCGCGAAAGCGUGGGGAGCGAACAGGAUUAGAUACCCUGGUAGUCCACGCCGUAAAC